CGCGGAGUGGAGCAGCAUGGUAGCUCGUCGGGCUCAUAACCCGAAGGCCGUAGGUUCAAAUCCUGCCUCCGCAACCA
RNAcentral lists this transfer RNA (77 nucleotides) under Desulfovibrio sp. OttesenSCG-928-F07. RNAcentral's name for it is "tRNA-Met". It matches the Rfam family "tRNA". Rfam says of the family: Transfer RNA (tRNA) molecules are approximately 80 nucleotides in length. Their secondary structure includes four short double-helical elements and three loops (D, anti-codon, and T loops). Further hydrogen bonds mediate the characteristic L-shaped molecular structure. tRNAs have two regions of fundamental functional importance: the anti-codon, which is responsible for specific mRNA codon recognition, and the 3' end, to which the tRNAs corresponding amino acid is attached (by aminoacyl-tRNA synthetases). tRNAs cope with the degeneracy of the genetic code in two manners: having more than one tRNA (with a specific anti-codon) for a particular amino acid; and 'wobble' base-pairing, i.e. permitting non-standard base-pairing at the 3rd anti-codon position. The record is from RNAcentral. Lineage: Bacteria; Pseudomonadati; Thermodesulfobacteriota; Desulfovibrionia; Desulfovibrionales; Desulfovibrionaceae.